AUACGGAGGGGGCUAGCGUUGUUCGGAAUUACUGGGCGUAAAGCGCGCGUAGGCGGAUUGGUCAGUUAGGGGUGAAAUCCCAGGGCUUAACCCUGGAACUGCCUCUAAUACUGCCAGUCUUGAGUUCGGGAGAGGUGAGUGGAAUUCCUAGUGUAGAGGUGAAAUUCGUAGAUAUUAGGAAGAACACCAGUGGCGAAGGCAGCUCACUGGCCCGAUACUGACGCUGAGGCGCGAAAGCGUGGGGAGCAAACAGGAUUAGAAACCCGAGUAGUCC
This 274-nucleotide ribosomal RNA is filed under the name uncultured bacterium. RNAcentral describes it as "partial 16S ribosomal RNA". It matches the Rfam family "Bacterial small subunit ribosomal RNA", at positions 523 to 796 of the family's 1533-position model. The record is from RNAcentral.